Molecule: long non-coding RNA, 3874 nt
Organism: Choloepus didactylus (southern two-toed sloth)
Lineage: Eukaryota; Metazoa; Chordata; Mammalia; Pilosa; Megalonychidae
Exons: 2
Source: RefSeq, a predicted model, not a curated record
AGGUAUUGCAUCUGCAUCUCACCAAGGAGUUACCAUGAUUUGAUUUCCUGAUAAGAGGAAAGAUGGGGACUCCCGCAGUCUGCAAGUCAGCUGGGGCAGCUCUGCUUUGGGCUACAGACUUGAGGACAAGUCUACUCCACGUUUCUCUCAUUCUCCUUGAACCAGCAGUUACCAGGACAGUUCUCAUGGCUUGCAAGGUCAAGCCAAACCACACAGCACAUUUAAAUUCUCUGCUCAUGUCAUGUCCACUAAUAUUCCACUGGUCAAAACAAGUCAUACAACCAAGUCCAAUACCAGUGGAGGGGGACUCGACUCUGAUCUCUCCAGUGGGGGCACUGUAGAGCAACGUGGCAAAGACUGUGGAUGCCUUUGUUCCAAGGAGGAUGAGUAGAUUGAUGUUGCCCUUCUCUUUCAUGGAAAAGACGAAGGAGAAAAUAGCUACAUGAAAAGAUCAUUUCAUUGCAGAAAAAAAUUUUUAGCCAUUUCCAGGAAGUUACCAGGUUUGGUAAGAUUUUGUCCCAUCUCCCAAAUGCACAGUCAGCUUCAUGGAUAAAUAACCUGUGACAGAGCAUACGGUCCCACACCCAGAAGGGCCUUGUACUUGGUUGAGUGCUCUACUGCUGCCAUCUUGAAAUUCUUAGUGAUUUUUGAGCCAGGUGCCCUGUUUUCAUUUUGCACUGGGUCUUGCAAAUUAUGAGGCCAGUCCUGCCUGUAUACAUUAUGUUUAUGGUCCCAAAUGGUUAGCAGUAGUACUCAGAAUGGCAACCCUGAGAAUUCUAGUUUCCUGAAUCAUCCAAGAUUCAAUUACAAUCUCCAUGUUCUUUCAUUCAUUCAUUCAACGUGUUUAUUGGAUAUCCUUCUUAUUCUAAGUUUUAGGGAUAAAACCACGAAUCAGCCAGCUCUGCUCUCAUGAGGUUUAUAUUGUGCCACACUUUCUGUAUCUGCCCAUGACAGAUGACAUUCAUAUAUCAGCUAUUAACUGAACAUUGGCCAUAGAUAUUCAUGCCAGAGGGUGACAUAGAUAAUGUACAACAGGGGUUAGGUGUCAGUCCAGCAGCCAGCAGGAACUCCAUCCAUUGAAGUCUCUUCCUCUCAAGAAAGCAAAUCACAACGCAAGUAAUAGUGAUAUUCUUAGAAAGCUAAUCUUAAAUGCACUCUGUAAAAGAUCUUACACAAACUUUGCUACUUUAGAUAUUAUCCUAGUCUCUAAAAAGGCAAAAAGACAGCUUCAUUUUAGAAAUGAAAAGGUUUUCAACCAUAAAGACAGAAGUCAAAGGGCAGACUCAGUUUCUGAUUAACAUUUCCCAGGGGCUCUGGGAAUACUGCAAGAAAUGCCAUUUUGUGACAGCUUCAGCCAAAUGCCAGGCUUGUUCUUCAAGAGAUCCACUUACUACUGUAUUGCUCAGAGGAGUGGAAAGAUGUCAAAUUGCUGAUCUGCUUGGGAAAUCAAAUCAGGUGCAUUUCACACCCAAGCAGCAGGGAUCCUGCCCUGGGAAGGAACCGGGCCUUUUUCUCAUUUGCUUGCUUGAUAGAAACUCAUGCCCAUAGGUCCAGCCCAUCUCCCCCAGCCCCCAAACUAGACUCUUCUAGCAAGCCCAGCUGGAGGAAAUAUGUUAGCAACACCCACAAUGUCUUCCUGGGACAGAUAAUACCACAGUCCAGCUCUUUCAGAGCUUGUCCCUCUAGGCCCCUGGGACAGUGGAUCUCAACCAUUCACCUGCAUCAGAAUCACCUGAAGGGCUUCUUAUAACAGAUGACUAGGCUCCAUCCUAGAGUUUCUGAUUCACUUGGUCUGGAGUGGGUCCUCAAAUUUGCUUUUCUAACAAGUUCCUAAGUGGCUGCUGUUGCUGGUCAGACCAGUCUUUAGGAACCACUGCCUAGAGCAACCACUGCCUUGGGUGAAAGACUGAAUGAGCAACACCAGACUCCAGGCAGAGAAUGUUCCCGAACAGAUCCUAAUGCCCUUUGGCUUCUGACUUCCUCAUCCUUUCCUCACCUCCCAGUCAUUCGUCAGCUCACUAUAGUCUGCCUUCUGCCUCAUACCUCACUGAAAACGUUCUCACUGAAAUUAAACAUGGCUCAUCUGUUGCCAAUUUUAGUGGACAGUGGGCAUCAACACUUGAAUAUCUCACCAGCCACUUCAUAACUCAGCAUGUCUAAAAUUUAACUCAGUGUCUGUCUUCCUGCAUUCUUCAUCUGGUGUCUGUGCCUACUCAGCUUCAUAUUUUUUCCUCCUCAUGACAGUACUACUCUUUUUGGAGGGGAAUCCCCCUCCCCUCCAGUGUAGCUCAGACGUGAUUUCCAGUCAUAGCACCCUAUACCACUGCCUACAGGUAUGGGCCUAUGGCCAGUACUGGACAAUCAGAUUACUCCAUCUCUUUGGCCAUAAUGAUUGGCCCAGGGACAGUUGAUAACCCAUUCAAACCAAUCAGAAUCCUUCUCUUGGAUUUUAAAUGGCAUUUCAUUUAAGUCUAAGACACCAUUGGUGAUGAGAAGUCCUAUGAGUUUAGGGAUUAUUAAGAAAUAUUACCACUGAUUAGAAUAUUAAGAACUGUUAGAUAUCAUCUAGUAAGAGAAGCCCUCAGUUACAGGAAUGUUAAAAUUGGGGGGUGAGGGACUUUAUACAAUGCAACACAGAAUAUAGAUGCUGGAAGAUGUCACUUGUGACUCUUAGAGUCACUGAGAUAGAAAGAAAUGCAGAGCUGUGACAACACCCACCCUCUCUCCAUUGCACAGAGGAAGCAAGUCUGCAGUAAGAAAGAAUCAGACCAACACACAGAUGGAGGUAGAGCCAAAACAUGGACUGGCUCUGCUACUAGGCUUUAGUCCUUUUAUUCUUAAAUAAUUUGAGUUUGAUUUCGGUUGCUUGUAACCAUGGAAGUCCUGAUGAAUGCAAUCCCCACCCCACAAACUUCUCCAAUAUCCCCAAUAAGUAACUGACUUCAACACCAAUCAAAUUAUGUAAGUAAUCCUUGACCCCUUCCUUUCUGUCAAUCAUCCUGCAUUCAACUAAUGAGAAGGGUCCUUUCCAAUUCCUCCAUUUCUCUCCAUCUGUACUCUACCACCAUAACCCUUUCCACUAUCACCUUUCAUUAGACCACUGGGAUGUCCCCCUAACUGAGUCCCCUGUUCUAGUCUGGAUCCCUCUAAUUCAUGCUCCACAUUGCAGUCAAAAUGAUCUUUUCAAAACCAAAUGAGAACAUGUGAUAACCGGACUGGAAACCCUUUAAUGUCUUCCCUUUGUCCUUCCACAAUAUGACCCAGGCAUACCUCCCCAGUUUACUCCAGCCACGUUGAGUAUUUUGCAGCUCUAUACCUUUAAAUUUACUUUUCUUUGCCUGGAACGUUCUUCCUAAUUUACUUUGACUAAUGUCUAUUCAUCCUUCAGUCCCAGCUUAAAUGUCACUUCUUCCAGGAAGUAUUCCCUGACUGCAUAGACCAAGUUGAGGCUUCUAGCUUCACUUAACACUUUCCCAGAUUCUAUAGCAACUUCAUCACCAUACUUUUUAAAGUAAGACAUUUCCUGUAGCUUUUUAUAUUUGGAGAUAGUGAAAUCUUAUUUACACUCAAAUCUUUAGAAAAAUAAACCCUAUUCUUGAGAUACCAGUAAGAGACAGUCCUAUUUUGGGAGUGUAUGGUGGGUUAAGGAUCUGUGCCAAAAUGAUAACUAUUUUCCAUCUUGCUGCCAGUCCCAUGCCAGGAUGUGCCUCUGCCUAAUGGAAUGCAUGACAAAGAGUAGAUCCUUAGUAAUGAAUGAAUUAAAUAUAAGAUUUAUAAGUGUCUCAUGCAACUGUGGGUAUGCAAGCCCACAGUGGUUCAUGAACAGUGACUCGGGACAAGUCUGCUUGCUUGUAAAAAAAAAAAAAAAAAAGCC